AAACACAUGAAAUUUACAUGGAAAAACUCCUCAAAAGAGGAUAAAAACCACUACAAGAAAGGAGAAUUCACUAUAAUAAAAAGAAAGUACAAAAGAUAGAGAGAAUCAAAAGAAAACCCAAUGCCCCGGAAGAAAAAACCCUUCAAAACAAAGGAUAGAAUUAUCUCAAUCUAAAUAUUUAUGUUAUAUAAAACCUAGAGUAAAGGCUUAUUUAUAAGCUGAAAUUCAUAGUAUAUAUGACUAGAAUAUCCCUAGAUUAAUCAGAUUUUAAGUGGAAAUUUGAAAUAUAGUUUAACUAAGAGAAGAAAGCCGAAAAACUUGAAAUGCACACCGUCACAUCGUGACGUGGAGUUUGGUUAUAGGACAAGGAAGGAUCGCAUCAUCAGGACGAGGACUUUCUUCUUGUUGUGACGUCUGCUGCUCGUUGGGACGAAGAGUUUCUCCUCAUUGUGACAUCACAUGCUGCUUGAUUGAAAUGCGAGGCAUACUUUCACACAAUAUCCACAAUAAAUGUAUAUUUGCGCUAAAAACAAGAGUGGACUUAGAGAUUAAAUUAAUUUCUUUAAAUUAUUAUUUAAUUGAUUGUUAUUAAAUAAUUGAAGUUUAAUGUGAAAAUUAAAUUAAUUAGUUAGUUUACAUUUAUUUACUUAUAGAUUCUAGUACAAUAAAGUUGACAUGACUUUAACGAAAUUAAAAUUUUGUUGAGAAAAUUAUUUAAUUGAGUAAAUUAAUUAAAUAAAUAAUAUUUGAAAAAUAGAAAAUUGAUUAUUAAGUUGAAUAAAUUAUAUUAGUUAGUUUAAGUGCAGAUAACGCAUAUAAUUGUUCUCAAUACACAAAUGAGCUUAUUUAUUAUGUGAUGGGAGACAAAUUGGUUUUUAGAAAAGAAGUGUGCGUUCACCUAUUUUAUAAUCCUUUUUUUAUUAAAAUAUUAGUAUUUUAUUACAUCUUGUUCAACUAAAACUCUUGUAAUUUUUCCCUAUAAAUAGAGAUUAUGAGUUAGGUCAAACCAUACUAUUGUUGAGAGCAGUUACUUUGAAGAAAUUCAAAGAGAUUGCUUUGAAAAUUCUAUUUUUAUUGAAAACUCGUAUUAAAAAUUUUUCCUAUAGAGAGAUUUAUUAUAGAAAUUUAAUAGUUUUAAUUGUCUGAUCGAUUUGUACGUAUUAAAAUCAUUCUAAUUUUUUUUAGAGCUUAUAAGUUCAAAUCGAAUACAAUUACAAAUAUAUGUUUGUGUAAUAACAAAAUAAAAUCAAAUCAAUACAGAGUACAAAUAGAUGAGGAACUAGAAUAUAAUCAGACAAAACCCAUUCACGGCAACUAUGCAUGGGAGAUUGGUGACCCACACAUAGUAAUUGCUUAUAUAACUCCUUCAAUUUUAAAAAAAUUACAAGUAAAUAUAAUGGUAAAAUUAUACUUUGACCUUCCAAAAUUCUUAUUCAUUUUUUACUUCCCUAAACAAUUUCUUAGCUUUACACAUAAACUCGAACUUGAAUACUCCAUGACUUAAGACCUCGGUACUUUCCCAUAACCUCAAGACCUCAUUAGUAAAACUAUUUUAAUGAAGUCAUCUGAGGUUUCUUUUAUAAAAGGUAGAAGGUAAAAUUAUGCCGAGAACUGAACUUGAAAUCGAUGAAUUAAAAACUUCAAGAAAAUUAUUUGAUGGUCCCUUAUAAUUCAAUGGACAAAACAAUAUAAGUUAAAUCACUUUAUUUCAAGUGGUUUUGAGUUUAAAAUUAUUUGGAAUUCAACCUUUUGGGUUUUGAUAUUCAUAUUAUUUAGUCCAUAUUUAAUUUAUUGGUUUUUUUAAACAAAACAAGUAUCUGUUAAUUUUGAAAAAUCCGUGGCUUUUUUCAGUUAGAAUGUGAAUGAACAAGAUAAGAAUAUGGUUUUUCAGUCUCUUAAUGUUCGGUGCUCGACAAAUCCAGAGAAAUACCUUGAUCCCCCAAAUAUGGUGGGCUGGAAGAAGAAGUUGGCCUUCCAGAAUUUGAAAGAUCAUUUGAAGCAAAAGAUAAAUAGUUGGAGUUUACGACAUAUUUCACAAGGAGGCAAAGAGGUUUUUAUAAAAUUUGUUUUGCAAGCAAUUCCUACUUACACGAUGGCUUGCUUCCUUUUGCCAAAAUCUCUUUGUCUUGAACUGGAAAAUAUUGUGGGUUCAUUUUGGUAGAGGAAAAAUCAUGGAAAACGAGGUAUGCAUUAGUGUGAUUAGAAGUCGUUGUGUGCGCUUAAGGAUGAAGUUGGUAUGGGUUUUCGUAAUCUGAUUCAUUUUAAUAUCGCUUUAUUGGCCAAACAGGGUUGGCGUUUGUUACGUAAUCCUAAUUCUUUAUUAGCUCGUACUUUAAAAGCCAAAUAUUAUAAAGAAUCUGAUUUCUUAAAUUCUAGGUUGGGAAAUCUACCUUCUUUUACCUGGCAGAGUAUUUGGGCCGCAAAAGGCCUUCUUUUGAAGGGCUUGGGCUAGAGGAUCGGGAAUGGAAGGAAAGUCUCUAUUUGGGAUGAAGCAUGGAUCCCUGGAAGUGAAGAUUUCAGAUUACAGAAUAUGAAUGUUAAUUUGAGCAUUCUAAAGGCUGUUGAUUUGAUUUAUGCUAACGUUAGAAAAUGGAACUCUGAAUUGAUCUAUAAUACCUUUUCAGAACAAGAUGCAGAUAGGAUCCUUUGUAUCCCUUUGUCUCUGUAUGAGCAUAAAGACUUUUUCAUUUGGCGAGGUGAACCGACUGGGGAAUAUUCGGUGCGUAGUGGACAUAAACUUCUUCUACAUGAAGACCAGAAUCAUUUACAGGCAAAUUACAAACAAUUUUACAAAAAAUUGUGGAAUCUAGAUCUUCCCCCUAAAAUUAAGAUUACAGUAUGGCGUUUUUCACGAAACUUUCUGCCUACUUUCAGUAAUCUUAACUAUCGAAGAUUAAUGGGUUUGUUGCUGGUGCCAAAGUGAGGCGGAAACGAGGGAACACUUGUUCCGGGAGUGCCCUACAGUAAAAGAAACAUGGGAGAAUUUAAGUAUCAGUUAGCCUAUUCCAGAAGAAAACACUGACUUCAGGGAUUGGUUAAAAAAUAUUUUUGAUUCCAGAUCUACGGCUACCUACAGAAUUAUAGCAUAUACACUAUGGGCGAUUUGGACCUCCAGAAACAGAUUUAUUCAUGAGUGUGAAGUUAAAACAAGUGCUCAAAUAACAGUUUUUGUGAAAAAAUUUAUGCAGGAACUUAAUGGUUUGAAAGUUCCUUUACCUGAAAAACGGCUCUGUUAGGUAAGAUAGGUUACUCCGGGGGGAACGGGGCUUAAAAUUAACUUCGACGCCGCUUUCAACAAACAUAGAAAAGAGUCGUGUUCUGGGUUAGUUAUCCGAAAUAAUAAAGCAGAGGUUAUUUGCUCAAAAUCAAUAAUAAACUCGAACAUACAUCCGCCUUUGCAGCAAAAGUGGUGGCAGGUCUCCAAGCACUGCAACUCGAAUUUCACCUUGGGUUGAGGGAGGUGGAGAUUGAAGGCGAUUCUCGGCCGGUGAUUCGUAAACUACAAGAGAAGCUAGAGGAUAGAUCUGAGAUUGUUACGUUUAUUAAUGACUCAAAAAACCUAAGAUUAGGUUUUCAGGUAUGUGUUUUCUUUUUUACAAAUAGAGAAUCGAAUAAGGUUGCGUAUGUCAUUGCAUCUAAAGGACUAAGAAAGAGGGAGACGACUUAUCUGGAGAACCAGGUUCUUUCUGGCACAAUAGAUGUGAUGGCUGAAGAUCGGAGGUGGACGGAGAGCUGAGGGGCCGGAGGGUAGGAGAUGAAGUUGAAAACGUUUUUUGAAAUAUUUCUGUUGGGAGACCAUUCAAUGAUAAAUGGAGUCUUCAAAGGGAACUUUGGGGGUUGGAAUGGUCAGUUGAUGGAUGAAUUGAUGAUAAUUAAUUUUCUGUUUACUGUUCCCCAUAAGUCUGUUACUUUCAAGAGGGUUUAUUUGUUGGUUUACAGCUGGAGCAAGAAGGCUCUAGAGCUUCCCUUUUGUUGUUUUGCUGGUUAGUGAUGGUAACCACGUAUCUAAGGGUAUAAUCGGUAAUUUGAC
Molecule: long non-coding RNA, 4030 nt
Filed under: Gossypium barbadense (sea-island cotton)
Lineage: Eukaryota; Viridiplantae; Streptophyta; Magnoliopsida; Malvales; Malvaceae
Description: long non-coding RNA (GBAR_LNC011714)
Source: RNAcentral